This 69-nucleotide transfer RNA is filed under the name Ictidomys tridecemlineatus (thirteen-lined ground squirrel). RNAcentral describes it as "Spermophilus tridecemlineatus (thirteen-lined ground squirrel) tRNA". It matches the Rfam family "tRNA". From Rfam's summary of the family: Transfer RNA (tRNA) molecules are approximately 80 nucleotides in length. Their secondary structure includes four short double-helical elements and three loops (D, anti-codon, and T loops). Lineage: Eukaryota; Metazoa; Chordata; Mammalia; Rodentia; Sciuridae. The record is from Rfam by way of RNAcentral.
GGGGUUGUGACUCAGUGGUAGAGUGCUUGCCUAGUAUGCAUGAGGCACUGGGUUUGAUCCCUAGUACCA